RNAcentral lists this long non-coding RNA (591 nucleotides) under Setaria viridis. Its description in RNAcentral is "long non-coding RNA (SVIR_LNC003400)". The record is from RNAcentral. Lineage: Eukaryota; Viridiplantae; Streptophyta; Magnoliopsida; Poales; Poaceae.
GCGAGGAGAAGCAUGGUGGGGUCAACGACGUCGUGGAGGAAUGGGAGGAGGACGUCGGAGGGGGUGGGGACGGGGUCUCACGCUCGUCGGUGUCGGCGUAGUCGCUGUAGUCAACCAGGGGUGGGUAGAUCUAACAGGAGGAGAUAGGAGAGGUAGAGGAAGGCAGUAGCGGGUGGAUCUGCGGGGAGAGAGCGAGGAGGGGAAAAGAGUGGAGGGUAGGGUUUCAUGGACGGAUGGUGUAUUUAUUCGGAGGCCGGUUCAUCUCGGCCAUCCAACUUUGAUCUAAUGGCCAAAAAGAGGUGUGUAUUCAUGGGCCGAAUCAUUUAAACGGCCGAACUCAGACUUGUCUAAACAUACUUCACUAUUUAAUGUUUUUCAUUUUCUUUUUGCCAUUUUAAAGCAUCCUUCUAAAGUAACUUGCAAAUAAAUUAUCUUACAUACACUCAUAUAUUUUUAAAUAUAGUAGAUAACAUUUAAGUUUUCAUGUAGGAGUUUAAAGAAUUUUUGAAUAGAUUUAGUGUCUUCUAUCAUUAAAAUGAAUUUCUACAUGCUUAUCAAAAGUAAUUCCAAGUUAAACUGUGUGUACCACCA